RNAcentral lists this non-coding RNA (31 nucleotides) under Rattus norvegicus (Norway rat). Lineage: Eukaryota; Metazoa; Chordata; Mammalia; Rodentia; Muridae. The record is from RNAcentral.
UGUCACGAUGCCUUUCAACUGAAUGUUAAGU